This 873-nucleotide long non-coding RNA is filed under the name Aedes aegypti (yellow fever mosquito). RNAcentral's name for it is "lncRNA AAEL025169". Lineage: Eukaryota; Metazoa; Arthropoda; Insecta; Diptera; Culicidae. The record is from RNAcentral.
GAAGAAACAAAAUGCUUGCUUGAUCUCCUAUAAUAAUUGUUAGUAAUCCAUGGUCACAUAAAUAACACGGCACCACUUAAACGUUAAAUAAUGAACUCGUGCACUGGUUUAUUGACCACAUGUUUACGCAAAAACAGAUUUGGUGUUUUGAUGCUGCAGUAACAAUGUUUUUGCUAGCGCGAUACAGCGGUACAUAUCCAUUGACGUUUGGUGCCCUAUCAGCAUUGUUGUCAUUUUGCGCUAGCAAAAUUGCUAGCGCAUUUAACCCAGGUCGUUCCGUUCAGGAAAAAAGCUCGAGAUAUGACGAUAAUCACCCAAGAACUGAUGGGAGCAAGCAGAUUGCUAGAAAACUCCAGAAACCGAGUCUCGGAGCACCCAAGAAGCAGGAACCUGAAUGUGCCACCACCUACGUGAAUGGAAUGAUCAUUUUCGACGAAUUCGACUAUCGCUAAAUGACACAAUACCCAGGAAUUUCGGCCCGCAACCGAACCCGCAGCAGAGAAUCGUUGACACAAGAGGGCCAUCACUUAGGAGACAACUAUGGGUUUCACUCCAGAACGGGAAUGUGAUAAGAGUUAAAAAAACAUGUAUUAUAGUGAAUAAUCUUUCAAUCUAACAAUUUUUGAUUUAAGGUGAAAUGAAUUUGAAACGACAGUUCAAAUUUUCAAGAGCAUUAAUCUGGAGAACCAGACAUCCGUUCGAGCUGAAGACUUGAUCGAUUUGUCACUCGCUGGUGGUGACCAAUCGAUCAAAUUUUCAGCGUGAACGGUGUCUGGGUUUUUAGAUUUGUGCUCAAGAAAAUUUGAAGUUUGGUUUCGAUGCUAAUAACAAACGUCUUGCAUAUAAUAAAAUAAGUAGUAGCAUCCUAAAUAA